UGGGGAAUAAUGCACAAUGGGCGCAAGCCUGAUGCAGCCAUGCCGCGUGUAUGAAGAAGGCCUUCGGGUUGUAAAGUACUUUCAGCGGGGAGGAAGGGAGUAAAGUUAAUACCUUUGCUCAUUGACGUUACCCGCAGAAGAAGCACCGGCUAACUCCGUGCCAGCAGCCGCGGUAAUACGGAGGGUGCAAGCGUUAAUCGGAAUUACUGGGCGUAAAGCGCACGCAGGCGGUUGAUUGAGUCAGAUGUGAAAUCCCCGGGCUUAACCCGGGAAUUGCAUCUGAUACUGGUCAGCUAGAGUCUUGUAGAGGGGGGUAGAAUUCCAUGUGUAGCGGUGAAAUGCGUAGAGAUGUGGAGGAAUACCGGUGGCGAAGGCGGCCCCCUGGACAAAGACUGACGCUCAGGUGCGAAAGCGUGGGGAGCAAACAGG
RNAcentral lists this ribosomal RNA (429 nucleotides) under Chloroflexota bacterium. RNAcentral's name for it is "Chloroflexi bacterium partial 16S ribosomal RNA". It matches the Rfam family "Bacterial small subunit ribosomal RNA", at positions 355 to 776 of the family's 1533-position model. Lineage: Bacteria; Bacillati; Chloroflexota. The record is from RNAcentral.